RNAcentral lists this ribosomal RNA (459 nucleotides) under uncultured bacterium. Its description in RNAcentral is "partial 16S ribosomal RNA". It matches the Rfam family "Bacterial small subunit ribosomal RNA", at positions 338 to 794 of the family's 1533-position model. The record is from RNAcentral.
CCUACGGGAGGCAGCAGUGAGGAAUAUUGGUCAAUGGGCGUAAGCCUGAACCAGCCAAGUCGCGUGAGGGAUGAAGGUUCUAUGGAUCGUAAACCUCUUUUAUAAGGGAAUAAAGUGUGGGACGUGUCCUGUUUUGUAUGUACCUUAUGAAUAAGGAUCGGCUAACUCCGUGCCAGCAGCCGCGGUAAUACGGAGGAUCCGAGCGUUAUCCGGAUUUAUUGGGUUUAAAGGGUGCGUAGGCGGCCUUUUAAGUCAGCGGUGAAAGUCUGUGGCUCAACCAUAGAAUUGCGGUUGAAACUGGGAGGCUUGAGUAUGUUUGAGGCAGGCGGAAUGCGGGGUGUAGGUGUGAAAUGCUUAGAUAUCACGCAGAACCCCGAUUGCGAAGGCAGCCUGCCAAGCCAUGACUGACGCUGAUGCACGAAAGCAUGGGGAUCAAACAGGAUUAGAUACCCUUGUAGU